Molecule: long non-coding RNA, 1247 nt
Filed under: Phasianus colchicus (ring-necked pheasant)
Lineage: Eukaryota; Metazoa; Chordata; Aves; Galliformes; Phasianidae
Description: lncRNA (ENSPCLG00000019581.1)
Source: RNAcentral
AGGGAACCCCCUCAGGGCCGGCUCUGUCAAGCUUCUGCUGGCAAUAAUCUAAUCUUGCCAUGAAAUUCAGCUUCUGUUGUUUCAUCAGUUAGUAAACCAAGGACAGGGUGUGAGCGUAUAAUGCAAUGAGCCUGAAUUAUGGCACAUUAAUAAGCUUCUGCUUGUCAGUUAAGUUGCCGUGGUGUUCAGAGUGUUCCAUGGGUACCACUGGAGCUUUGACACAUAUUGAUUUAACAACAGCACUAUUGUCCAGACAUCAUCCCAGCUCAUGUAAAAGUCAGCUAUAUGGGGCACACAUAACAGGUCUGGAUUUCUCAUCCUCUGAAGCACGAGAGUAGCUACCAGGAGCUCACCUACUGCUACUACAUGGGACUGCCUGCAGCGGGCACGAGGCUUAGACAUUAUGGGGACAAUUCAGGUACUGCUUAAGGGCAAAAGCCUUUCUUUCUGAAAAGAUAGUUGCCUCGGAAUAUAGUAUGAGCUUUGGGCCGUGGCAGGAUGGUGGAAUGCAAUACUGCCUCUAGGGUAGUGAGACCUAGAAGUCGUUGUUCCUGGCUAGUGCUUGUCACUCACCCUUGUAGCGGCAUUCCCAAACCUCCCCAAAGCCUUCCUCGGCUCUCUGCCACGGAGGAACUCAGCAAGCACUCCGUUUAAACAUCUCAAAUUAAAUUUAUUGUAACUAUCCAAGAGCAGCGUGACAGGGCUUCUGGUGGGGCUGUAAGCCUUCUGACCGCUGGGCAGCCAUGGUGGCAACUUAACCCACCCCACGGUGUGCCUCUGAGCCAAUGCCUCCGUGGGUUCUUACCAGCACAGGUCCAGCUUUGCAGAAGUGGCAGCCCCUGGCCCAAACAGGCCUUGUGUGUGGCUGACUGUGUGCCUUGACUGCCGGCAGCCAGCCCUGCGCAUUACAGUGUUUUCCAGAAAGCUCCUUGGCUGCUUCAGUGCAAUGAAGUUUUUAUGGCUAACACUUCAGUAUGGCAACAAGCUAACAAACAGAACAAUUCUGUUACAAGUGGAGGCAAUUAACAUUCAUGGGAAGAAAUGCAUUGAGGUUGUCAGCUUUCAGGCGAAGAAUAUUACAGCAAUGCCCUCUAGCGUUGCUUUCGUUGAAGUGUGAAUGAACGCUCCCCGGGAAAAAUCACGCCGUACUGAAGGCUGCAUCCUUCCUUCUCUGCUUGUAAGAGUAAGCCCUUGACAGAGAAUGCACAAGGCAAAGAUCAAAUUCAUGGUACUUGACCUUUUCCAAG